RNAcentral lists this ribosomal RNA (117 nucleotides) under Deltaproteobacteria bacterium. The record is from RNAcentral. Lineage: Bacteria; Pseudomonadati; Myxococcota; Myxococcia.
UCCGGUGGCUAUGGCAGAGAGGCCACACCCGAUCCCAUCCCGAACUCGGAAGUUAAGCUCUCUAGCGCCGAUGGUACUGCAGGGGCAACUCUGUGGGAGAGUAGGUCGCCGCCGGAU